Long non-coding RNA from Cottoperca gobio, 1414 nucleotides. Ensembl lists it as uncharacterized. Lineage: Eukaryota; Metazoa; Chordata; Actinopteri; Perciformes; Bovichtidae. The record is from Ensembl.
CAGUUUAUGUAUACAUACUAAUACUAUAAUGUAUGGUGUGUGUGCGUGCGUGCGUGAGUGAGGGAGAGAGAGACACCACGCGCACCUAUGAUUGUGCACAAGCGUAUGUUCAUCACGUGAUCUUUUUCCCAAGAAGCAAAGCUGUGGGGGAGAACCUGAUUUGCAUAUUGGGCGCCUGUUCGACACAUCCUGCGACUUUAACCAAUAAGGUCGACACAUGCAGCAAACCACGCCCGCGCGGCAACUCGUGUCGCGCGCCUCAUCAGCAUUGUACUGGCGGUGGAGAAGACAAAAGUUGUCAGUCACUCCUUACCUCUCAGGGCAGGUUUUUCAAAAUCGGGGACUUUUUUUUGUAUUAGUUAAAUUGAAGUUUGUGUUUGUAGUGGAUAACAGAGAGCUCGGAAACGACAUUGACGCCUAUGAAGAAGCUGCUGAGUUCACCAGCUGAAGCCAAUUUACGUUACCGUGGAAAAGUUACUGUUGGGUACCCCGUGGGGUUUAAAGUUCAGCUAGCGUCACUGGCAGCUAGCAGGUAGUUAGCUCCAUAUUGUAACAGAUUAGUGUGGUCACAAUGGCAGCUGUGUGUCAGCCCCGACGUGCCUUAGUGGAAAUACCUGCUCCACAGCCCAAAAUUGCAGCUCGAAUAAGGAGGUCCUAUUUAGACAUUUUAAGUGCUCGUUUGGCUCCAUCUCCAUUUCCAAGAGGGAGAAGCGCAACUACAAACACAACACGUGUGCACUCAUUGGACUUGUCCAUUGGUGGGGUGUGGAGGGGGAGGAUAGAGGAGCAGUGUGAGAAGAUGGACGGGCACCAUACCCCUCUCUCCAAACAGCAGCUUGUACAGCUAAUCAGAUCGCUCAUCCUGGUUGAACAGAGCCAAGAACCCAGGAUCCUAGCAUCUGACCUGAAGUAUCUCCAGGAAGACCUGCAACUAAAGAAAGCAAAUGUUUAUAGGUCCAUACCUUACUCACGGCUUGGCUCUAACAGGGACGCUCGCUGCUACAGAAAGGCAUAUCCUCACCUGGUGGCAUUCAAAGUUUCCUGUCAGGAGUGGGGCCAAGUUCUUCUGAGGAACAAUGAGUGGGACGCUGUGUUGGAGCACACAUUAAUGGCGUGGCGCUACACCAGCGAGUUGCCGCAGUGGGAUACAGCAAACCAUAAUGCUCUCCGAGAACAGUGUUACAGCAUUUUGGCAGCUCACAGCCUCACUUGUCUCCAGCACUACCACCCUGAACCCAACAGAGGACGCGAGCUGCUCAGAAGGUUGAACAUGGCUCGGUUGCACAGCCAGUCAAUCGUGCAUUGUAUUCAAGAGUUGCAGAGGAUUAUGGGAUGUGCUGAUGACUCAUCCAUGGACACAAAAUAACACAAACACUAUCAAUCCAGCUGGCUACACCCCAGUGACAAGUGUUUG